RNAcentral lists this transfer RNA (88 nucleotides) under Legionellaceae bacterium. Its description in RNAcentral is "tRNA-Leu". It matches the Rfam family "tRNA". From Rfam's summary of the family: Transfer RNA (tRNA) molecules are approximately 80 nucleotides in length. Their secondary structure includes four short double-helical elements and three loops (D, anti-codon, and T loops). Further hydrogen bonds mediate the characteristic L-shaped molecular structure. tRNAs have two regions of fundamental functional importance: the anti-codon, which is responsible for specific mRNA codon recognition, and the 3' end, to which the tRNAs corresponding amino acid is attached (by aminoacyl-tRNA synthetases). tRNAs cope with the degeneracy of the genetic code in two manners: having more than one tRNA (with a specific anti-codon) for a particular amino acid; and 'wobble' base-pairing, i.e. permitting non-standard base-pairing at the 3rd anti-codon position. Lineage: Bacteria; Pseudomonadati; Pseudomonadota; Gammaproteobacteria; Legionellales; Legionellaceae. The record is from RNAcentral.
GCCCGGGUGGCGGAAUUGGUAGACGCAAGGGACUUAAAAUCCCUCGAGAUCUGAUCUCGUGCCGGUUCGAGUCCGGCCCCGGGCACCA